GAAAUUGAAAUUGGCGGCCAAAUCCCUAAAUCACCAAAGUGAACCCAAAUUCACCCCCCACAGCAUCCAUGACUCCCACAUCUUGAAUUCCUAAUCGAAGCCCUUCAUAACCCUCUGAAAUUCAUCGAAUUGGAAAGGCUAGGGUUUGUCUGUUUCAAGUGUGUUUUGAAGAUCUUGUGAAGUUGAGUCGAUUCUCCGUUAACGUUAUUUGAUUAUUCUAGUUGGAAUGGGCAAGUAACAUUAACAAGGCGUUGAUUCUAUUUCAAGUUUGUUCCAAGCAGAGUUUGGGGUGAGUUUUCCUUAUUAAUUCUUUUAGUUUAGUUAGUUUCUUGAUUAUUAACUCCUCUCGUCGCCCUUCUGAUAAGUUUGAAUGAUAAUAAUUAGUUUAGUUAGGCCGUUCUUUGGUUUCCAAUCCUUUGUUCAUGCUUGAUUGACAAACUUUUGAUUCAUCUCUUUUCGUCGUUUCAUAAUUAGUUAAGCUUUAUUUCUUAUUAUUUUCAGUUUUCAGAUUUGAUUUUUUUUUUCUGAAUUUUGACUGCUCUUCUCCUCCUUUGAUUCAAGUUAGUUAUUUGGUUUAGUUUCUAAUUAAUUUAGUGUAGAUUAAUUUCAGUCGUCAAGCUUUUAGACAAUUUCAGAUCCUUAAGGGUGCUUUAAGGUUCAGUUAGUAAUUUCUCCAACUGUUAAUAUUAAUUGGUGGCCUAAUAGGGUUGGUUAUAGCUGAAGAAGUUUUUUUGUUAGGUAACUGAACUUAGUAAUUUCUCCAAGUGUUAGUGUUAAUUUGUGGCCUAAUAGGGUUGGUUAUAGCUGAAGAAGUUCUUUUGUUAGGUAACUGCAGUCAUGUUCAUAACUGGGGGUUAAGGGGUUGGGUCAGUUAGCAUGAGAUGUAAUUUUUAGAGUGAUAGAAGGGCAUUCUAAGGAUGGAAAAGAGGUAGUUUUUAGAAUAAUGGUAAUUCCAAAACAGGGGAUGGGUAACUUAGGAAUUGCAUAGCUAAAAGAGCAUCCUAGAAGUUCCUAAAAUAGGACCUUAGUGUAGUUUUUAAUAAAACUAGGGCAAUAACUUGAGGAAUAAGUUAGAAAAUUGAGGUUUAAAGUGUAAAUAAUCAGGGACUAAAAGAAAAAAAACCAAAAAUCUGGUCAUUUACCCUAAAGUGGCCUAUAAAUUGAGAUCAUCAUUGCUUGUGAAGGGGGGUUCUUCUUUUUCAGCCAAGAUUUGGACACUUUCUGAAAAAACGGCAGAGGUUUUAGCCAUCAAUAUAUAGUCUAUUCUUCUAGUUUUUUUUAGUUUUUAAAUUGGAGAUUCGAAACAAAAAAAUCCAAAAACAAUAAAAAAACAUAAAAUCAGAAUAUAGUAUUGUUUCAUUGCCUAGUUUAGCCCGUUUUUCAAUUCCUAUUUGAAUUUCUCUGCUCCUGCUUGAUGUGUGGGUUUACAAAGGUAUCUGGAGGAAUUUGGUAGCUGGUUGAGUAAAUUUGGGUUGCAUAUUUGAGUAUUUGACAUUGCUCUGGAGAACUGAAUUGUAUUUUAUCCCUACUGUUGUUGUGUUCACUUUAUUUCUGGGCAAUUCAUUCUAUUUUCUGGGUUUUUAAGUUCUAUUGUGUUGCUGCACAACUUUUGCUGCUACUGACCUUCUCUCCUACUUAUUUCUAUUCAUUUUCAGGUAUUUUUCCAGCUUUAUGUGGUGUUGAAAAGCUGAAUCUAUGUAUAUUGGUCGAAAUGAGGAAAUGAAAUCUGGAUCAUGUUAAUUUGAUAUCAAUUUUGUUAAUUUCAAUUGUAACUUAACAGUAGUGGUAGUAAAGACUUGGUUGAUUGAAACGCUUAAAGAAUUGUGGUAACUGAACUGUAAUAGGACUGUCCAUUUUUAUAUUCAGGAUUUGUUAAAUUUGGGCUUAUAAACUCAUGAAUACACUAGCAGAUUAUGCGGUAUAGCAGAUGCAGCGAACCUAUUUAGUUUUGGCUUGCUGUUGUAGUUUAACGCCAUGAACUAUUCGACUAAGGUUUGAGUUGUGUGGUAAUUGGCAUGAGGAUUGUGUACUGAUAAUUGCUAGAUUAAUGACUAUGGAAUGGAAUUAACUAUAUAUCUGCAUGUUUAAUUGUAAAAUUGGCAGACUCAUUUAGUUCAAUACUAGC
This 2125-nucleotide long non-coding RNA is filed under the name Nicotiana benthamiana. RNAcentral's name for it is "long non-coding RNA (NBEN_LNC035998)". Lineage: Eukaryota; Viridiplantae; Streptophyta; Magnoliopsida; Solanales; Solanaceae. The record is from RNAcentral.